Molecule: ribosomal RNA, 498 nt
Filed under: uncultured bacterium
Lineage: Bacteria
Description: partial 16S ribosomal RNA
Rfam family: Bacterial small subunit ribosomal RNA
Source: RNAcentral
GAUGAACGCUAGCUACAGGCUUAACACAUGCAAGUCGAGGGGUAGCAGGGUAGCAAUACCGCUGACGACCGGCGCACGGGUGAGUAACACGUAUCCAACCUUCCCAUAACUCGGGGAUAGCCUUUCGAAAGAAAGAUUAAUACCGGAUGGUACUUUUUCAAGGCAUCUUGAGAAAGUUAAAGAUUUAUUGGUUAUGGAUGGGGAUGGGUUCCAUUAGAUAGGUGGUGAGGUAACGGCUCACCAAGUCUUCGAUGGAUAGGGGUUCUGAGAGGAAGGUCCCCCACAUUGGUACUGAGACACGGACCAAACUCCUACGGGAGGCAGCAGUGAGGAAUAUUGGUCAAUGGGCGAGAGCCUGAACCAGCCAAGUAGCGUGAAGGAUGAAGGUCCUAUGGAUUGUAAACUUCUUUUAUAGUAGAAUAGAGUGAUCCACGUGUGGAUUUUUGUAUGUAUACUAUGAAUAAGGAUCGGCUAACUCCGUGCCAGCCGCCGCAGUAA